This 79-nucleotide small nuclear RNA is filed under the name Balaenoptera physalus (Fin whale). RNAcentral also lists the same sequence under 1 other name. The record is from RNAcentral. Lineage: Eukaryota; Metazoa; Chordata; Mammalia; Artiodactyla; Balaenopteridae.
GUGUUCAUUUCAGGUGUACAGCAGCACAUCUACUAAAAUUGAAACAAUACAGAGAAGAUUAGCAUGGCCCCUGCCCAAG